This 292-nucleotide ribosomal RNA is filed under the name uncultured bacterium. RNAcentral's name for it is "partial 16S ribosomal RNA". It matches the Rfam family "Bacterial small subunit ribosomal RNA", at positions 505 to 796 of the family's 1533-position model. The record is from RNAcentral.
GUGCCAGCCGCCGCGGUAAUACGGAGGGUGCAAGCGUUAAUCGGAAUUACUGGGCGUAAAGGGUGCGUAGGUGGUUGUAUAAGUUAGCUGUGAAAUCCCUGGGCUUAACCUGGGCAGGUCAGCUAAGACUGUAUGACUCGAGUAUGGGAGAGGGUAGUGGAAUUUCCGGUGUAGCGGUGAAAUGCGUAGAGAUCGGAAGGAACACCAGUGGCGAAGGCGGCUACCUGGCCUAAUACUGACACUGAGGCACGAAAGCGUGGGGAGCAAACAGGAUUAGAAACCCCUGUAGUCC